RNAcentral lists this long non-coding RNA (875 nucleotides) under Homo sapiens (human). RNAcentral's name for it is "novel transcript, antisense to ZCCHC2". Lineage: Eukaryota; Metazoa; Chordata; Mammalia; Primates; Hominidae. The record is from RNAcentral.
GGGGAGGAGCCCCGCGCCACGGACCCUAUAUCGCCGUGCGCUAGCUCCGGGCGUUGCGUGACCUCCGAGCCCCUAAGGCGGGUCGCGGCGCCUCCACGCGAGGGGCGCGCGAGCUUUGGGCUCAUCCCUGACGAUGGGGAGGUGCGCCCGCCCUCCCCGGGUGCGCGGCGGCGGCGGCGGGAGGCCGAGAACAGCUGGGCCGGACUGCAGCGAAUGAGGGCUUAACUCAGCCCACCCACAUCAGCGGCCUCUGGAGUGACAGCCUGGGAGCAACAUCAUCAGAUAAAAGGUCAAGGCCAGAACAAGCCACAGCUGGGACUCGGAGGUCACUCUACGCAGCAGAAAAUGCGGGGUCGUAACAACUUAAUGAGAUGUGAAUGAUGUGUUACGGUAACCCUAAACAACUGCUGGAGAAGUUCACCACACACCACGCAUCUAGAAAUAGCCCAGUGUCACCUGUAGUACGCGGCCCCUAUGAUUUAUUCCCCCACUUCACUUGACACGUCCUGAGAAGCAGUGAUGUGCUGACGUUAAUGGCAGGAUGCCCAACCUCACUUUGUCCAUCCCUCCCAGCACUCACUGGUUGCAGAAAAGGUCACGCAUUGCGGUCAACAUAAAAAUCUCAUUACUCUGGUCUGCAUGCAUCCCUCCCCUUUCUCUACUUGCCCUCCAACACGCUUAUUAAAAACAAAAUUUAAAGAAAGAAAAGGGAAAGAAAAAAAGACUUUCAGCAGUUAAAAUCAGAAAUCAAGUACCUUUGUUGGAAUAGUAUGAAUGGAAUGAUAUGAGGUUCCACUGUGGGACAUUUUCUUUAGACCUGCAAUUUAAGGCUAUCUUUACAAUAUUGUAUGUUAUUACAAUAACAUUUUAAAUAA